RNAcentral lists this ribosomal RNA (395 nucleotides) under uncultured bacterium. Its description in RNAcentral is "partial 16S ribosomal RNA". It matches the Rfam family "Bacterial small subunit ribosomal RNA", at positions 523 to 918 of the family's 1533-position model. The record is from RNAcentral.
AUACGUAGGGUGCAAGCGUUAAUCGGAAUUACUGGGCGUAAAGCGUGCGCAGGCGGUUUUGUAAGACAGAGGUGAAAUCCCCGGGCUCAACCUGGGAACUGCCUUUGUGACUGCAAGGCUAGAGUACGGCAGAGGGGGAUGGAAUUCCGCGUGUAGCAGUGAAAUGCGUAGAUAUGCGGAGGAACACCGAUGGCGAAGGCAAUCCCCUGGGCCUGUACUGACGCGCAUGCACGAAAGCGUGGGGAGCAAACAGGAUUAGAUACCCUGGUAGUCCACGCCCUAAACGAUGUCAACUGGUUGUUGGGUCUUCAUUGACUCAGUAACGAAGCUAACGCGUGAAGUUGACCGCCUAGGGAGUACGGCCGCAAGGUUGAAACUCAAAUGAAUUGGCGGGG